GACGAACGCUGGCGGCGUGCUUAACACAUGCAAGUCGAACGGAAAGGCCCUGCUUUUGUGGGGUGCUCGAGUGGCGAACGGGUGAGUAACACGUGAGUAACCUGCCCUUGACUUUGGGAUAACUUCAGGAAACUGGGGCUAAUACCGGAUAGGAGCUUCUGCUGCAUGGUGGGGGUUGGAAAGUUUCGGCGGUUGGGGAUGGACUCGCGGCUUAUCAGCUUGUUGGUGGGGUAGUGGCUUACCAAGGCUUUGACGGGUAGCCGGCCUGAGAGGGUGACCGGCGACAUUGGGACUGAGAUACGGACCAGAGUCCAACGGGAGGCAGCAGUGGGGAAUAUUGCACAAUGGGCGGAAGCCUGAUGCAGAAACGCCGCGUGCGGAAGGACGGCCUUCGGGUUGUAAACCGCUUUCGCCUGUGACGAAGCGUGAGUGACGGUAAUGGGUAAAGAAGCACCGGCUAACUACGUG
This 468-nucleotide ribosomal RNA is filed under the name uncultured bacterium. RNAcentral describes it as "partial 16S ribosomal RNA". It matches the Rfam family "Bacterial small subunit ribosomal RNA", at positions 28 to 507 of the family's 1533-position model. The record is from RNAcentral.